This 120-nucleotide ribosomal RNA is filed under the name uncultured bacterium. Its description in RNAcentral is "partial 16S ribosomal RNA". It matches the Rfam family "Bacterial small subunit ribosomal RNA", at positions 215 to 334 of the family's 1533-position model. The record is from RNAcentral.
UCGCCAUCAGAUGGGCCCGCGUCGGAUUAGCUAGUUGGUGGGGUAAUGGCCUACCAAGGCGACGAUCCGUAGCUGGUCUGAGAGGAUGAUCAGCCACACUGGGACUGAGACACGGCCCAG